UACGGAGGGGGCUAGCGUUGUUCGGAAUUACUGGGCGUAAAGCGCACGUAGGCGGACUGUUAGGUCGGGGGUGAAAUCCUGGAGCUCAACUCCAGAACUGCCUUUGAUACUGGCGAUCUCGAGUCCGGGAGAGGUGAGUGGAACUGCGAGUGUAGAGGUGAAAUUCGUAGAUAUUCGCAAGAACACCAGUGGCGAAGGCGGCUCACUGGCCCGGUACUGACGCUGAGGUGCGAAAGCGUGGGGAGCAAACAGG
This 253-nucleotide ribosomal RNA is filed under the name uncultured bacterium. RNAcentral describes it as "partial 16S ribosomal RNA". It matches the Rfam family "Bacterial small subunit ribosomal RNA", at positions 524 to 776 of the family's 1533-position model. The record is from RNAcentral.